Molecule: small nucleolar RNA, 72 nt
Organism: Bison bison bison
Lineage: Eukaryota; Metazoa; Chordata; Mammalia; Artiodactyla; Bovidae
Source: Ensembl
CCACUCUCUUCAUGACCAGUACUGGUCUUUGAUCACCCCAGGACCUUUGACACCUAGGGGUCUGAGGGGCCC